GGGCUGGCCUAGCCAAAAGGGGCGGGCGAGCACGGCCCGCGGGCGGCGUUCGCUGGAGCUGGUGGACCGGGCGGCUGACCGAGGGGCGGACGCGCGGCGGGGCAGACCGCUGGGGACUGCGGGCGGCGCUGUGUCCGUCGCCAUGACAGAGACAAGGUCUUGCUGUAUUGCCUAAGUGUGGUCUUGAAUUCCUGGCAUCAAGUGACUCUUCUGCCUCUGUCUCCCAAAGUGGUUUUCUUUUCUUGAAGUGACU
Molecule: long non-coding RNA, 253 nt
Filed under: Pan troglodytes (chimpanzee)
Lineage: Eukaryota; Metazoa; Chordata; Mammalia; Primates; Hominidae
Description: long non-coding RNA NONPTRT017545
Source: RNAcentral